GAUGAACGCUGGCGGUGUGCCUAAUACAUGCAAGUCGAGCGAACAGACGAGGAGCUUGCUCCUCAGACGUUAGCGGCGGACGGGUGAGUAACCUGUGCUUAACCUACAUAUAAGACUGGGAUAAAUUCGGGAAACCGGCGCUAAUGCCGGAUAAUAUAUUGAACCGCAUGGUUCAAUAGUGAAACACGGUUUUGCUGUCAAUUAUAGAUGGAUCCGCGCCCCAUUAGCUAGUUGGUAAGGUAACGGCUUACCAAGGCAACCAUGCGUAGCCGACAUGACAGGGUGAUCGGCCGGACUGGAAGUGCGACACGGACCAGAGUCCUACGGAGAGCAGCAGUAGGGAAACUUCGGGAAUGGGCGAAAGCUUGACGGAGCAACGCCGCGUGAGUGAUGAGGGUCUUCGGGUCGUAAAACUCGGUUAUUAGGGAAGAAAAAGUGUGUAAAUAACUAUGCACGUCUUGACGGGACCUAAUCAGAAAGCCACGGCUAACUACGUG
Molecule: ribosomal RNA, 497 nt
Filed under: uncultured bacterium
Lineage: Bacteria
Description: partial 16S ribosomal RNA
Rfam family: Bacterial small subunit ribosomal RNA
Source: RNAcentral